This 499-nucleotide ribosomal RNA is filed under the name uncultured bacterium. RNAcentral describes it as "partial 16S ribosomal RNA". It matches the Rfam family "Bacterial small subunit ribosomal RNA", at positions 28 to 507 of the family's 1533-position model. The record is from RNAcentral.
GACGAACGCUGGCGGCGUGCCUAAUACAUGCAAGUCGAGCGGACCAAACAGGAGCUUGCUCUUGUUUGGUUAGCGGCGGACGGGUGAGUAACACGUGGGUAACCUGCCCGUAAGACCGGGAUAACUCCGUGAAACCGGAGCUAAUACCGGAUAACACCGAAGACCGCAUGGUCUUUGGUUGAAAGGCGGCUUCGGCUGCCACUUACGGAUGGGCCCGCGGCGCAUUAGCUAGUUGGUGAGGUAACGGCUCACCAAGGCGAGGAUGCGUAGCCGGCCUGAGAGGGUGACAGGCCAAACUGGGACUGAGACACGGCCCAGACUCCUACGGGAGGCAGCAGUAGGGAAUCUUCCGCAAUGGACGAAAGUCUGACGGAGAGACGCCGCGUGAGCGAAGAAGGUCUUCGGAUCGUAAAGCUCUGUUGUUAGGGAAGAAGAAGCGCCGUUCGAACAGGGCGGCGCGGUGACGGUACCUAACGAGAAAGCCCCGGCUAACUACGUG